AACGAACGCUGGCGGCAUGCCUAACACAUGCAAGUCGAACGAGACCUUCGGGUCUAGUGGCGCACGGGUGCGUAACGCGUGGUAACCUGCCCUUAGGUUCGGAAUAACUCCCCGAAAGGUGUGCUAAUACCGGAUAAUGUCUUCGGACCAAAGAUUUAUCGCCUUUGGAUGGGGCCGCGUUGGAUUAGCUAGUUGGUAGGGUAAAAGCCUACCAAGGCGACGAUCCAUAGCUGGUCUGAGAGGAUGAUCAGCCACGCUGGGACUGAGACACGGCCUAGACUCCUACGGGAGGCAGCAGUGGGGAAUAUUGGACACUGGGCGAAAGCCUGAUACAGCAAUGCCGCGUGAGUGAUGAAGGCCUUAGGGUUGUAAAGCUCUUUUACCCGGGAUGAUAAUGACAGUACCGGGAGAAUAAGCUCCGGCUAACUCCGUG
Molecule: ribosomal RNA, 433 nt
Filed under: uncultured bacterium
Lineage: Bacteria
Description: partial 16S ribosomal RNA
Rfam family: Bacterial small subunit ribosomal RNA
Source: RNAcentral